Molecule: long non-coding RNA, 728 nt
Organism: Juglans regia (Persian walnut)
Lineage: Eukaryota; Viridiplantae; Streptophyta; Magnoliopsida; Fagales; Juglandaceae
Exons: 3
Source: RefSeq, a predicted model, not a curated record
AAUGUGUCCUCUUCUCUCCCUAAGCUCAAUCUCUCCAUGCCCAAAGUAUUCCUCUCCUCCCCCCUCUUCUCUGUCUUCAUCAGCUUUCACCGAGCAAAAGCUCUCAAUGCUGGCUCUCAUGGUGGUGAAACAGGCUGAUGGACUUCUAGUCGGUCGAAUUGGUGCUUUCUUUUUGCUAUGAUUACGUUGAGCUAUCAUGUGAUUUCGUGUUGAAACAUCUUUCAAUAAUUCAAAAAUAGACGUAAGGGAGAAAGGAGAUGUGAAUUUUUUGUAUAGGCAAAUAUACUUCAUUUGAUAGAGAACAUUUGUAGAAGAGAGAAUGUAGUUUGGAAGACGUGGGAUUGCGUAUUGCUACCCGAGUAUGAAGUUCAAAAAAGGGAAGAUAAAGUGAGAGAGAGAGAGAGAGAGAGAGAGAGACGUUCACAAGGAAAAGAAAAAAUUAUUGUGUUUGUACUGGGUUAUAUCAAUUAUAAUAGUUUUUGCUUGAUUCAGAUGAAUUGUAACAUGCCAUUGUAAAUAGCUGGGUAUGAUCUAUAUAGUUCUUGUAUGGAUCAACUGUAAUAGUACUCUCCCUAUGCUUUCUGUUUGCACUUGGACAGUAAUUAACUUAUAAUGUUUUGGUUAUGAUGUACAAAAUGGGGUAUCCAUAUGUAUGAUAUCCAUAUGUGCAAGAAAAUGCUGGUUGUGAAAUUAACCUGCCAGUAUGGAAUAUGUAUAUUAAUUUGUUU